AUUUGCUUAUACUACUAACGAUAUUUUCAGGGUUAAAUUAUGCGCUUGCUUUGAGCGACAUCACAAACCCAAUUCUCUUAUUAAAUAUAUUUUCUAAUCAAAAAGCCCUAGCCUAUUUCCAUCAAUCUCUGUUCGAUCUCUACCGCAACCUUCUUUCUCUUCCUCUCCAUUUUGGAUCUAACCUAACAAAUAACAUCGCAGAACUUGGUGGCCACUGUGUUGGUCUAAAUCCAGGGAUUAUUCUUUUUGGGUAUUUCAAUUUGGCUUUCUCUUCAGUCGUUCCUCUUCCUCUCUCUUUGAAUACGAUUCAACUCAGAUGCGUCCAAUUUAAUGGCUGGGUCAUUCGUGCGAGAUUCGUUAUGUCCGAGCAGAAUUCAUGAGGAAUUUCGAUUGAACUCGGAUGCGUUCUCAUCUCUGUUCUAGGAAAGUUCGCAUCUUGGUCAGUUCUCAAUCUCUUUUGGCUUGGUUUCUGUUUUGGGCUUCUUGUUAUUACUGGUGUUCAAUUUUAUGUUUGAGCUUUUCAGUUAUGAUCUACUAGAAAUUAUCUGUAAUUUAAUUCAUUGUGGACUGAAAGCUUUAGUCAUUGCUUGUGUGAGAUUUGCUUUCUUGCAUUUUUCUGUUAAUGCAAAGUGAAUUUUGUUAAUGCAAAUUAUCUGUGAUUCCGUACGGUUUGCCUUUUUGUUUUUGAUGAAAGAUGGUGUUUGUGAAGAGCUUGAUCAGUGAUAUAAUUUAGUGUCAUACUUAUGCAAAGUACAUACCCGAGAUACUAUGUUUUUGGCAAUUGUAAACACAAAUGCUAUAAUGUGUGCUAUAAUUAUGAAAGAGUUAUAUAUUGGCUUGAUGUGUUAUUCUUGAACUAGUUUCUCAUUGAAUUUUGUUCCAGGGGUUGGCCUUCAUGCUUCACUAUUGGUAAGUGAAUAGCAACAUUUAGACUUGGAGAAGUGUAACUGGGCUAAUGGUGAUUUUUGGGUACUACUUGCAACUUCUCUAGCAAUCUCAAGCCUCUUUAUUGUGAAAUUAAAGUUAUAUGUUUUAAUCUAUUGCUACUAGAACUCUAUUAAUUUCUUCGAUUGCAGCUGGUAUAUGUUUUAGCUAACUUUUGUUGUCUCAGUAUGGAUAACAUUUUGAAAUGUCACUACAAAAAAGAAUUGCAACCGCCACAGCAGCUUGCAUCUGCACGUCUGUUACUGCUCUUACUGUUUGAUCUAGAAUAUGUUUUUUGCUAUCAGUUGUAUGCUUGACCUGUACUGUCUAGUUUCUCAUAAGUUUUCAGAAAAAUAAGAAAGCACAGAUAAAGCUCCUCUUGAUCCCAGCACUACUUUAGGUGGUUUCUGUGGAAAAAACUAUUCCGAGGCAUCAGCAUUUAUAAUAACUUAUCCUGUAAACAAUGCUAUUAAUAAAGAAGGGAAUGAAAUUGAAAGAGUAGUGGCAUGGGAGAAGGCCUUCAUUGAGCUGGCAAAGGUUUACCUCUCUGUAAUUCAGUUAUAGUUUAGCUUUGUGUAAUUUUUUUUUCCUGGUUGUUCAGUAUGAAAAUAGAUAAUUUAUUGUUUUGAAGUCUAAGAUUUGUAUUGCAUUUGUGAUAGGAUGAGCUAUUGCAAAUGGUGCAAUCUAAAAACUUAACACUAUCUUUCUCAUCGGAGAGUUCCAUUGAAGAAGAACUUAAGAGUGAAAGCACUGCAGAUGCUAUUACAAUAUUGAUGAGUGGUUUCUCUGUUUCAUGUUGGGUUGCUUUUUCCUUUUAGACCAAAAGAUCUGAAAUUCUGUAAUUCAUGAAUACUGUUCUUGAUGUAAUAUCGUAGUCAGUUACUUGGUCAGUUACAUGGUCAGCUACAUGUAACUGACCAAGUAACUGUAACUGGUCAAGUAACUGACCAUGUAACUGACCAAGUAACUGUAACUGGUCAAGUAACUGACCAAGUAACUAACCAAGUAACUGAUCAAGUAGCUGUAGCUCACCCUAAUCCUGAAUACUUGCAAAAGAAUACCAAAAUUUCAACAAUCAAAUCAGAACACCAGCAUACGUGUGCUUUUAUCUGCCUCUUACAUUUAAUGUUUACUGUUUUUGAAUAAUUCUAGGUCCGUGAAGGUGCAUUUGGUUCUAUUGGUGAUGAUCAGUCACUUCUUAAAUACUUGGAAUCUCUGGGACAACAUCAGUAACAAGCAUGUCCGUAGUUGGUCAUCAAAGAGAGGUAGGGCUUUAAAGCAUCAAUUCAAGCUUGGUGAGCAGCUUGGUAAGCUCAUGUUUCUUCCCAGUCAGGCUUGGUGAGUAGCUUCUGUUUUAAUCUUGAAGUCGAGGAAGAUUAAAACAAAAGUGUCUGUUUCCUUGUGCUUAAUCAUCUUGUAAACUUUCGUAGAAACUUCAUUCCUUUUGUAACAUUCAUGAGAAAAAUUAAAAUUAUC
This is a long non-coding RNA of Rosa chinensis, 2400 nucleotides long. RefSeq lists it as uncharacterized. The transcript has 3 exons. The record is from RefSeq and is a predicted model, not a curated record. NCBI's taxonomy places the organism in Eukaryota, Viridiplantae, Streptophyta, Magnoliopsida, Rosales, Rosaceae.